UUUAAGUCAUGGCAACAACAUUCUGAAAAUGUUCUGUUCUAACGAGUGAUGCAAAAAUGUAAAGGGGAGGAGUCAUAAGUGGAAUGUGUCUGUAGAUCCCCCUAGUGUCCAUAAAAACAACAACUCCACUUUUAGCACUUUAGACCUCUUUGUAGAAGAGAAUAAUUUGAUAAAUACCUCUUAUCCAUUCAUGGUAAAUGAGUUACCAAGACACUCGUGGAAAACUAAC
Molecule: non-coding RNA, 229 nt
Organism: Pelobates cultripes (western spadefoot toad)
Lineage: Eukaryota; Metazoa; Chordata; Amphibia; Anura; Pelobatidae
Source: the annotation of a GenBank genome assembly